GCUGGGUGUGGUGGCUCACUCCUGUAAUCCCAGUACUUUGGGAGGCCGAGGCGGGUGGAUUGCCUGAGCUCAGGAGUUCAAAACCAGCCUGGGCAACAUGGCAAAAACCUGUCUCUA
Papio anubis (olive baboon) is the source of this 117-nucleotide unclassified non-coding RNA. It matches the Rfam family "Metazoan signal recognition particle RNA". Rfam says of the family: The signal recognition particle (SRP) is a universally conserved ribonucleoprotein. The record is from Ensembl. NCBI's taxonomy places the organism in Eukaryota, Metazoa, Chordata, Mammalia, Primates, Cercopithecidae.